RNAcentral lists this ribosomal RNA (494 nucleotides) under uncultured bacterium. RNAcentral's name for it is "bacterial SSU rRNA". It matches the Rfam family "Bacterial small subunit ribosomal RNA", at positions 903 to 1397 of the family's 1533-position model. The record is from RNAcentral.
AAAGGAAUUGACGGGGGCCCGCACAAGCGGAGGAACAUGUGGUUUAAUUCGAUGAUACGCGAGGAACCUUACCCGGGCUUGAAAUGGGGAGGAAUGGCCGUGAAAGCGGUCAGUCAGCAAUGACCUCCCUGUAGGUGCUGCAUGGUUGUCGUCAGCUCGUGCCGUGAGGUGUCGGCUUAAGUGCCAUAACGAGCGCAACCCCUGCCGCCAGUUGCCAUCAUUUAAGGUGGGCACUCUGGCGGGACUGCCUCCGCAAGGAGCGAGGAAGGUGGGGAUGACGUCAAAUCAGCACGGCCCUUACGUCCGGGGCGACACACGUGUUACAAUGGGGGGUACAGAGGGCAGCGACACCGCGAGGUGAGGCGAAUCUCACAAAACCCCUCCCAGUUCGGAUCGGAGUCUGCAACCCGACUCCGUGAAGCUGGAUUCGCUAGUAAUCGCGCAUCAGCCAUGGCGCGGUGAAUACGUUCCCGGGCCUUGUACACACCGCCCGU